UACGGAGGGUGCUAGCGUUAAUCGGAAUUACUGGGCGUAAAGGGCACGUAGGCGGCCUUUUAAGUCAGAUGUGAAAGCCCGGGGCUUAACCUGGGAAUAGCAUUUGAGACUGGGAGUCUAGAGUACUGUAGGGAGGGGUGGAAUUCCACGUGUAGCGGUGAAAUGCGUAGAGAUGUGGAGGAAUACCAGAGGCGAAGGCGGCCCCCUGGGAAUGUACUGACGCUGAUGUGCGAAAGCGUGGGGAGCAAACAGG
This 253-nucleotide ribosomal RNA is filed under the name uncultured bacterium. RNAcentral's name for it is "partial 16S ribosomal RNA". It matches the Rfam family "Bacterial small subunit ribosomal RNA", at positions 524 to 776 of the family's 1533-position model. The record is from RNAcentral.